This 430-nucleotide ribosomal RNA is filed under the name Fusobacteriota bacterium. RNAcentral's name for it is "Fusobacteria bacterium partial 16S ribosomal RNA". It matches the Rfam family "Bacterial small subunit ribosomal RNA", at positions 355 to 776 of the family's 1533-position model. Lineage: Bacteria; Fusobacteriati; Fusobacteriota. The record is from RNAcentral.
UAGGGAAUCUUCGGCAAUGGACGAAAGUCUGACCGAGCAACGCCGCGUGAGUGAAGAAGGUUUUCGGAUCGUAAAACUCUGUUGUUAGAGAAGAACAAGGAUGAGAGUAGAAUGUUCAUCCCUUGACGGUAUCUAACCAGAAAGCCACGGCUAACUACGUGCCAGCAGCCGCGGUAAUACGCAGGUGGCAAGCGUUGUCCGGAUUUAUUGGGCGUAAAGCGAGCGCAGGCGGUUUCUUAAGUCUGAUGUGAAAGCCCCCGGCUCAACCGGGGAGGGUCAUUGGAAGCUGGGAAACUGGAGUGCAGAAGAGGAGAGUGGAAUUCCAUGUGUAGCGGUGAAAUGCGUAGAUAUAUGGAGGAACACCAGUGGCGAAGGCGGCUCUCUGGUCUGUAACUGACGCUGAGGCUCGAAAGCGUGGGGAGCAAACAGG